CGUUAAGAGUCGUCUGUUUCUGUGAGGAGAUGUCGAUGUGUUUGCCAGGCCCUGCCCUUUUUGCAAGAUGAGAUGUUUCCCCCGUCACCUCGAGGAGUCUGACUGGAGAGCGCGUCAUCGCCAGCAGCUGACGUGAGCCAAGUUAGGGAGGCAAGGUGGUCAGGCACAGCAGGUGGCCUCAGAGCCGAAGCAGUCCGCACAGGGCCGAGCCUGGAGCAAGUGCUCGCUGCAGGAGAGAAUCCUCUCACCUCGUAAAGUCCUGGGCACAGUGUGCGACGCAGGCAGAUGUCAAGGCUGUCGUGAUAGCCAGCCUGUCCUCUGCUCCCUCGUGAUGCACAGGACUGUACUUCUGCUUCAGUAGAAUCAGAUUCUGGUUGUGAUCCAAGUCACUU
This is a non-coding RNA of Manis javanica (Malayan pangolin), 392 nucleotides long. NCBI's taxonomy places the organism in Eukaryota, Metazoa, Chordata, Mammalia, Pholidota, Manidae. The record is from RefSeq and is a predicted model, not a curated record.